Molecule: ribosomal RNA, 479 nt
Filed under: uncultured Planctomycetota bacterium
Lineage: Bacteria; Pseudomonadati; Planctomycetota
Description: bacterial SSU rRNA
Rfam family: Bacterial small subunit ribosomal RNA
Source: RNAcentral
UUUCGCAAUGCCCGAAAGGGUGACGAAGCGACGCCGCGUGUGGGAAGAAGGCCUUCGGGUUGUAGACCACUGUCGGGAGUUAGGAAAUGUAAGGGUGCUAAUAGUAUCCUUACUUGACUAAGGCUCCGGAGGAAGCCACGGCUAACUCUGUGCCAGCAGCCGCGGUAAUACAGAGGCGGCAAGCGUUGUUCGAAAUUAUUGGGCGUAAAGAGCACGUAGGCGGCCUUGUAAGUCAGUUGUGAAAGCCUUCUGCUUAACGGAAGAACAGCAGCUGAUACUGCAAGGCUAGAGUGCGGAAGGGGAGAGUGGAACUUCUGGUGGAGCGGUGAAAUGCGUAGAUAUCAGAAGGAACACCGGCGGCGAAGGCGACUCUCUGGUCCGUAACUGACGCUGAGUGUGCGAAAGCUAGGGGAGCAAACGGGAUUAGAUACCCCGGUGGUCCUAGCCGUAAACGAUGGGCACUAAGUAGAGGGGUUUUA